RNAcentral lists this ribosomal RNA (496 nucleotides) under uncultured bacterium. RNAcentral describes it as "partial 16S ribosomal RNA". It matches the Rfam family "Bacterial small subunit ribosomal RNA", at positions 28 to 506 of the family's 1533-position model. The record is from RNAcentral.
GAUGAACGCUGGCGGCGUGCCUAAUACAUGCAAGUCGAGCGAACAGACGAUGAGCUUGCUCCUCUGACGUUAGCGGCGGACGGGUGAGUAACACGUGGAUAACCUACCUAUAAGACUGGGAUAACUUCGGGAAACCGGAGCUAAUACCGGAUAAUAUAUUGAACGGCAUGGUUCAAUAGUGAAAGACGGUUUUGCUGUCACUUAGAGAUGGAUCCGCGCGGCAUUAGCUAGUUGGUAAGGUAACGGCUUACCAAGGCAACGAUGCUGAGCCGACCUGAUAGAGUGAUCGGCAAACCUGGACCUGGGCACGGGCCCAGACCCCUACGGGAGGCAGCAGUAGGGAAUCUUGAGAAAUGGGCGAAAGCCUGACGGAGCAACGCGGGGUGAGUGAUGAAGGUCUCCGGUUCGUAAAACUCUGUUAUUAGGGAAGAAAAAAGGUGUUAGUAACUCUGCACGUCUGGACGGUACCUAAGCAUAAAGCCAGGGUUACCUCCGU